Molecule: ribosomal RNA, 496 nt
Filed under: uncultured bacterium
Lineage: Bacteria
Description: partial 16S ribosomal RNA
Rfam family: Bacterial small subunit ribosomal RNA
Source: RNAcentral
AUGAACGCUGGCGGCGUGCCUAAUACAUGCAAGUCGAGCGAACAGACGAGGAGCUUGCUCCUUUGACGUUAGCGGCGGACGGGUGAGUAACACGUGGAUAACCUACCUAUAAGACUGGGAUAACUUCGGGAAACCGGAGCUAAUACCGGAUAACAUGUUGAACCGCAUGGUUCAACAGUGAAAGACGGUCUUGCUGUCACUUAUAGAUGGAUCCGCGCCGCAUUAGCUAGUUGGUAAGGUAACGGCUUACCAAGGCAACGAUGCGUAGCCGACCUGAGAGGGUGAUCGGCCACACUGGAACUGAGACACGGUCCAGACUCCUACGGGAGGCAGCAGUAGGGAAUCUUCCGCAAUGGGCGAAAGCCUGACGGAGCAACGCCGCGUGAGUGAAGAAGGUCUUCGGAUCGUAAAACUCUGUUAUUAGGGAAGAACAAAUGUGUAAGUAACUAUGCACGUCUUGGCGGUACCUAAUCAGAAAGCCACGGCUAACUACGUG